This 372-nucleotide ribosomal RNA is filed under the name uncultured organism. RNAcentral's name for it is "partial 16S ribosomal RNA". It matches the Rfam family "Bacterial small subunit ribosomal RNA", at positions 527 to 896 of the family's 1533-position model. The record is from RNAcentral.
GUAGGUGGCAAGCGUUGUCCGGAAUUAUUGGGCGUAAAGCGCGCGCAGGCGGUUCUUUAAGUCUGAUGUGAAAGCCCACGGCUCAACCGUGGAGGGUCAUUGGAAACUGGAGAACUUGAGUACAGAAGAGGAAAGCGGAAUUCCACGUGUGGCGGUGAAAUGCGUAGAGAUGUGGAGGAACACCAGUGGCGAAGGCGGCUUUCUGGUCUGUAACUGACGCUGAGGCGCGAAAGCGUGGGGAGCAAACAGGGAUUAGAUACCCUGGUAGUCCACGCCGUAAACGAUGAGUGCUAAGUGUUAGGGGGUUUCCGCCCCCUUAGUGCUGCAGCUAACGCAUUAAGCACUCCGCCUGGGGAUACGGCCGCAAGGCUG